GCAACCAGGCCACGUUCAGACACACAGCAGGCUACCCAGACAUACUUCUCAGGGUAAACUGACCCCUGCUCUUCACUGCACAAACCUUUGACCCAUUGUGGGGUCAGCUCAGGUUGGUUUUUAAGCCUCAUUUAUCCAUUGUCUGAUGCUAUCUCAUUCACUGCUUUCAGCAGCUUUCAUGUCAGUGUUUUUAUUGCCUCCUCUGAGGCCUGUAGUCUAAUAUCUGCCACAGACAACAACCUUUUCUCCAUGGGGGCUUGAAAUAUCAUUGGCCAUCUCUACAUUGAUUUUGAAAUUUCCUGCAUGCAUUUUCUCUGGAACCUGAUAAAACGAGAGAACAAAGUGGGGAAACUGAAAUGUCUACAUACUGAACCUACAUUUUUUUUCCCCCCACAGUCUCAGCAUGAAGCAGAAAAACGCUCACAGCCACAUUCUCAGACUCACCUUCUUGCUCAUAUAAUUAUGAUGUGGUGUAGACAAUUACAUUACACAGAGCUAAAACUGAUUGACUUCAACGUCAGUGCCACUGGGUAAACAAUUCACAGAGCUUACAGUCAAACUUAUGAUGAUUGACCAUUCAUAGUGAGGUUUAUUCUGUUUUAAUUGCAUGUUUAGAAGAGCUCUGGAUGAGUCAAGUGGUGGCUUGUAGAGGUGAAGUUAGAAAAAAACUUCACGUUUCUUUUGUUUACUUAAUUUGCGAGACGAUCCCAAACUGCCUCUAGUCAUCCAGUAUCUGCGAUGGGAAUAAAUGAUUUCUUUUUAAGAUAUGUGUUUAUAUUUGGUGACUAAUAACACUGAAUUAGCAACAAUUAGACAUGACAGCUGGCAAAUUACUAUGUAAUUUUAAGGAAAAGGAAGAAAACAUUUACAGUGAUUAUGAUUUGAAUGAUACAUGGCAACACUUGUCAGCUCAGCUUUUCUGGCCCAGCUGCAGUAUUUUCUAUUUUAAGGUUCAGCUCUGGAUUUUUGUGUGUCAGUCCUCUUCGUAUUAUGUAUGGAUAACUUUUCUUUAAUGUAAAAUGUAUGAAUGAAAGUUGUAAAGGUUAAGAUACAUUUCAUGAAAGUAUGUUGUGUGAAGUAAAUGGUAUGAACCGUGAUAUAACUGCACAUUUCUUCACACAAAGUGUGUAUGACUUUGUGUCAGAGAUAAGAAAAACACUAAAGCAGUCUUGUGCCAAGAGGAAAUGAGCUAAAGGUCUUGUCAUACUUCUUGUUUAGCCUCUUGUGCUGCUCUGUCUAUCAUCACAGAGAAGCAGUCAGGGUGCCUGCCAACCACCAGCACUACAGCUGCCAAGCUGCCCCAGCUAAAUAUGCUGUCCUCUGUUUUACCCCAAGCAAGGGCUGUGCCCCUGCAUGCUAACACAAUGCUAACACAUUACAAAACCUUGUUGCGAAAAAUACAUGUGCUGUAACACAAACUUGAUCGUGCUUCAAAGCAUUUUCCAUGGAAGAUCUUGUAAAUCUCCCUCUUCCUUCUAAAUUAGAUUUUCUAGAUAACAAGAUUUAACCUCCCAAACACUCAAACUCGCGCUGUCAUACACGUUUUAACAACCAGUGUUGGCUCUAUGGUGCAGAAAGGGACACUGCCGGAAAUUGGAAAGCCUUUGUGGACUUUCUGCUGGGGGGAAGAAUACAGUAGAUCAUUACCUCACUCAGGGGGAGCUGUGAUAUACCACACAACUUGUAGGCAGAAAGGUAACAGGACUGAGCCCUGACAUAAGAAUGCUAUUUCUUGUCUCUCUAAUGAGCUGCAUGCUGUCAGCAUUCACUUAACUUGAGUGAAUGUCAGACAUGUUGUGGCUGAGUAAGUCGUGUUUGGCUGCUCUGGGGAUUUGUGGGGGAUGCAGCUUAUCAUGCCUCGUCUCCAAGUUCUGUACCCUGUUAUCUUAUUUAAAAAAUGGAGUUGUGAUUGAAACAGCGAAAUGGCUUACUUCUACUGAAAGCCAAAAGUAUCAUUUAGGAGUGGCUUUGGCUCAUAACAACACCAUAACAACAAUUUGCCAUCUGAGUCAGUCAAACGAAACUGAAAACCCACCAGCCAACAAUUCGGUAUGUCAGUCAGUCGCUGAACGGUGAGUUACAUAAUGUUUAGCUCUGCACAUAAGAUUGAGCAUUUAACAUAAACAUUCUCUCUGAGAAACCCUCAUUUGUUCUCUGAGAUAUGAUGCCUAUGUAACUCUGAAUAUAUACCUCUGUAGUAUUAGCAGGAGCUGUGUUACUGUUUGAGUCCAAGUAGGAUACAAACUGAUAGGGUAAUUUUUAUAAUAAAUAUCAUAAGCAUAACCACACCCGAUUCAAACUUUAUAUCAUCAAAGUUUUCAGAAAUAUUGAGUGACAAUAUUUAGGAUUUGAAGUACUUGCUCAUACUUAAAGAAGUUUCAAAAAGCUAGCUAUUAUGUACACAAACCCUUAAAUGCAUGGCUUGUUGGGUCAGGUUUCCCUCAAUUUUCCCUCCAUUUUGAGAAAAUAAUCCAAUCUGAUGGGAUUAUUCAUGUCUAUUCGGGGUGUUAAGAUACUUUCACUAGUGCAGUACUUUUAGCUUGGUGCAGAUCCAAGAUCUCUACGAGAGCAUGGACCACAUGCAUAGCCCAACUUGGCUACUGAUAGAUGAACACCAGUUUGAGUACUGGGACUUUCUCAAAAAUAAAGAGUGCAAAGUCCUAUUUUUACCUGUGAUCAGUUGUAUGCUGUAAAUUAAAACAGAGGUCACCUGUGGUUAUUAUCUGUGUGUUAAGUACAGUGAGGAGUGGGAGGAGCAAAGAGAGGGGAGCGUGAACUCAUUAAGUGAGAGUAGAUUAUGUCAUCUCUCUCUCUAAAACAAAAAAUAAAAAAAACUAUCAAGCCUCUUGGGCCUUUAGUUAGUAUCAUAUAGUAUAUCAGGAGCAACUGAUAUGUUCCUGUGAAGCUCUUACAUGCAGACAGCAGAAUAGCAGAAGAGUGAGGAGCUAAAUCUACACCAAAAUGAAGCAAAAACUCAGCAGAGAUAUUUUAAAUUUGGUGACUAUUUUGGCACAAAUAGUUUCCCUUCACUGGUGAAUAGACCUCAGAAAAUUGGUGGCCAAAUGGAAACAGCCCACAUGUAGCCCCUAAUGCCUAUGGUGCGUAUCACCAUGGAAACAUCAACAAAUAUAGAUGUGUGUGCAAAAAUUGGUGCUGAAUUCUCUCCUCUUGGAAAUUUCCAUCAAUCUUCCAGGUAGAAGAAUGUGUUGUUUCUUUAGGUGACCCAGAGCAGAGCAGCUGGAACACACUAGUGAUCUGUACAUGCCUCUAGUAGAACCCUACGGGGCCUCGUGAAGCAUCAACCCAGCGUAUUGUCCCUGGUAAAAUAAAUGGCUCCAUCUCUGCACCAUUUCACUUCUUCCAAGCCUCCUCAUAGGAGGGAAUACACUGAUGCCUCUCUCCCAUAGCUGCUGUAAAGGAUUCAGCUGCAGUAAAAGAUGAUGAGUGUCUGUGGGAAAGAGUCUAAUGCAGUAUGAGUUUACGCAUUUGUAACAUAUCCUCACCCAGCUGCCUGCCAGAUGACUCCUAAUCCACACCUUUCUUGUUAAGAGUACAGGGCAAGAGGAGUUUUACAUGAUGUAAACGUUUCUGAGUUAUUCAGUUUCUUCUUUGAAUUCAGUUCAAUAUAUUAUACAGCAGUACCCACUGUCAGCAUUUGUUUUCUAAACUAGUAUGUGUGGUACUUUCAUAGGUGAGCAGCCUUAAACAAAUCAAAGAGAAAAGGAACUAAAUGAUAUUAAAAAUAAAUUAAAAAGUGUGAAGGUAAUGACUUGUUUUAUGAAUGUGACUCUUAUUCAGUGUUUUAACACAAAGGCUUGUCUAAUAACACCGAGUCAUACUGAAGGAAAAUAAAACAUUAAUAACCACCAUUGUUUGUGUGUCACUUUUUCCAGUAAGCGUAUUGGUCCCUUGAGUCAAGACAGCUCUUCUCACUCAUCCAUGUCCUUGGCUGAGAGUAAAAGGGAGGGACGGCUGCAGUUUUGUUUCCAGCACACGGCUGUUGGAUCUUACGUUUGAAUUAGUUUCAAAUAAAUCCCUUUAGCCACUGGAG
Molecule: long non-coding RNA, 4051 nt
Filed under: Xyrichtys novacula (pearly razorfish)
Lineage: Eukaryota; Metazoa; Chordata; Actinopteri; Labriformes; Labridae
Source: RNAcentral